Long non-coding RNA from Momordica charantia (bitter melon), 728 nucleotides. RefSeq lists it as uncharacterized. The record is from RefSeq and is a predicted model, not a curated record. Lineage: Eukaryota; Viridiplantae; Streptophyta; Magnoliopsida; Cucurbitales; Cucurbitaceae.
UCCUCAUGCAGGCACUCCCGAGGACCGAGCUCAAGUCGAAGCAGCACGUCAAACUUAUCAUCAAAAUCACAACCCUAUCAAAUGCGAUGCUGAGUUGCUUUGGAUAAUUCAGUUUCUAGGAGAGAAAAAUUUCAAACAAAUCAUUCCAAAAGUAACAGUGGAGGAAGGAAUAAUGAUAAAAGAAUGAAACGGGCGACCAUUGCAUUGAGAAGAGCUGCACGUAGCCUUGCAAAGGAACCAUGGCCACUCGCUUGCACAAAAUUCUAGCCCUUUAUUCUUUUUGCCUCCUCUGGUAUUUGCACGGUGCAUUAUAGGACAUAUUAACACUAUAUUGUCAGAAGAACAUGGAAAGGAAAUUCUUCCCUAUACAUUCUAUCAUCAGAAUGAAGAUGGUGGAUGGGGAUUGCACAUUGUAGGAGAAAGUUGCAUGCUUUGCAUUGUUCUAAACUGUAUUCUAUUGUGUUUGCUUGGAGAGAACCCGAUACGAACGCUUGAGGUAGAGCUCAAAAAUGGAUUCUAGAUCACGGAGGUGCCUUUUACAUACCUUCUUGGGGAAAGAUUUAGCUUGCCAGUAUACGAGUGGGAAGGAGCAAAUCCAAUGUCCUAUGAGAACAUCAAAUGGAAUCCGACGCGACAUUAUCAUGCAAAGGUAUUUAUUAAAAAUUCAAUUAUGGAGCCUAUUAAUUAACUGAAAGAGGCCACUCCAUUAAGGUAGCUCUCUCACUAGU